AGAUGUAAAAUCAUCUCGGCGGCCUAUUAGUUUCUCUGAAAGUGACAGAGAGGAGUCUGAGUAUGAAACUGAAGGGGAAGAAGAUGAGAGGUCUGCACACAAUAGGAUUGAGGACGAGGAGCCAGAAUAUGAAGAAUCGGAAGAAGAGGAAGAGGAAGAGCGCUAUGAAGAGGCAGAUGCUAACGCUAACAGAGCUUCAGAGGAGGAAGAGGAAGCUGAGGAGCCUAGGUAAAAAGUGAAGGAGUCUGUUGGCAGCAGUAAGCGCAAGGGAAUCGAGUCGAAUGAGGACUCACCUCCUAGAAAAGCGAAUGAGUCUGUUGGCAGCAGUAAGCGCAAGGGAAUCGAGUCGAAUGAGGACUCACCUCCUAGAAAAGCUCCCACACAUUGUCACAUGGCAGUUGUUUAUGAUAGUGAUGAGGAAUGAAACAAGAUUACAGGGGAAAUAAUCGUAUCCUCAAACAAUGAACUAUUGACAGACAACUUUGGUGGCUGGAAAGGAUGUUGGAG
RNAcentral lists this long non-coding RNA (507 nucleotides) under Gossypium barbadense (sea-island cotton). RNAcentral's name for it is "long non-coding RNA (GBAR_LNC019643)". Lineage: Eukaryota; Viridiplantae; Streptophyta; Magnoliopsida; Malvales; Malvaceae. The record is from RNAcentral.